RNAcentral lists this ribosomal RNA (440 nucleotides) under uncultured bacterium. RNAcentral's name for it is "partial 16S ribosomal RNA". It matches the Rfam family "Bacterial small subunit ribosomal RNA", at positions 338 to 795 of the family's 1533-position model. The record is from RNAcentral.
CCUACGGGAGGCAGCAGUAGGGAAUAUUGCUCAAUGGGGGAAACCCUGAAGCAGCAACGCCGCGUGGAGGAUGAAGGUUUUCGGAUUGUAAACUCCUUUUGUUAGAGAAGAUAAUGACGGUAUCUAACGAAUAAGCACCGGCUAACUCCGUGCCAGCAGCCGCGGUAAUACGGAGGGUGCAAGCGUUACUCGGAAUCACUGGGCGUAAAGAGCGCGUAGGCGGGAUAGCAAGUCAGAUGUGAAAUCCUAUGGCUUAACCAUAGAACUGCAUUUGAAACUGUUAUUCUAGAGUAUGGGAGAGGUAGGUGGAAUUCUUGGUGUAGGGGUAAAAUGCGUAGAGAUCAAGAGGAAUACUCAUUGCGAAGGCGACCUGCUAGAACGUAACUGACGCUGAUGCGCGAAAGCGUGGGGAGCAAACAGGAUUAGAUACCCUAGUAGUC